GUUUUCAGUCAUUAUCAACAAAGACAGAAACGUUGAAGGUACUGAGAAGUCUAGUGCUUACAGCUGGUUGCAGCAAUUUCAACUUGCGCAAGACCCCAUGUUUGUGAAAACAACCCAAGAAUCUCUGAACGGGAUGUAAUCAACCUCCCAUCUACUGAGAAACACUGCAAAAAUGACUUCAGCUGCCAAAAAUAAUAAUGUCGUUUACAAGCAGCUCUUUCUAGGUCUAAGGAAGAACUAGCCACACAUGUGAGUUUAUGCUGGAUUCCGACGAGCAAGCAGAGAAGAGGGCAAAGCUUACCUCCCUCCCAUAAAAUACACGGUAUCGGAACCCACGGGAAGCUGGGGCCCGUUUCCAAGGUGCUGGCAAUAUUGAGGGAGAUUCGUAUCCACAGAAAUCUAAACAAUUACAUGAUUUGGUGAUUUGAAGCUGUUAUUGGAAACUUGACUCUAACUGAGCUGGCAGUAUCCAAGAAGAUGAUCUUGGGGUCAAAUAUCACUGGUAAGUGUCAUAAAAUGCUUCAAAGUAUUCCUGUGCUUGUGCAGUUGCUCUAAGGACCUAAAGAGGGAAAUCUUAAAGCAAUGUGCUCUGAUCAAGAAACAGCUGGCAAUGGCAGUGACCUGAUAUGGAGCCGUCAAGAAUUGAAGGUUUAUUUUGAAUGAGAGGUGUUGUCCAGCUGUGAGACUGAGUGAUGGCAGCUGAGAAUAAGUACACAAGCAAUCAUGACUCCAGGCAUGAAGUUUUUGAGACUGUAUCUUGUUUUCCUUCUUUUUCUGCUACUGCAUCCAUACUGCUGCAUUCAAUCCUGUCUGUGGAGGAGGAAUAAAGUUCUUCAGUUUAUUCUUCUUAUUAACGACAGUUUCUGAGCUGUCAUGAUUUGGAAUUAUAAUGAUAAAAAUGGCUCUUUCAGAUAAAAGAAGCAAUAUAUUCCAAAGUCAGAUUAUGUAUUGGACAGGUAAGAAUGCUUCAUCAUUAAAUGGUCUUUAAUAAGCUUUGCCAUUAAUUUUUUAUAUUAGUUGUUCUCCCUUUUCUGUAGUUAUAUAGCUUUGAGCCAAGUCAUUUCAUUCUUCCUGGUUUGUAUGAAGGUUACAAUUUUAUUGCAAUAGACCAUAUGAACUGCUCAAUUAAUUAUUUGUUUUUGAACAAUCUAAAAUUGCAACAUUUUCUAUUUGAUUGCCACUUUAAGAGUUUGCAAAGCACUUUAGAAUGCCUUAUUUAAAUUAAAGUUCACUGCAACAUAAA
Long non-coding RNA from Bubalus bubalis (water buffalo), 1243 nucleotides. RefSeq lists it as uncharacterized. The transcript is spliced from 3 exons. NCBI's taxonomy places the organism in Eukaryota, Metazoa, Chordata, Mammalia, Artiodactyla, Bovidae. The record is from RefSeq and is a predicted model, not a curated record.